GCUGCUCGAGAUUUUGCAUACCUCUCUGUGGUGAGCAGUAGGCAACACAUUAUUUUGUGGCAAAGAUGCAAUU
This 73-nucleotide ribozyme is filed under the name unclassified sequences. RNAcentral describes it as "HDV ribozyme from F. prausnitzii". It matches the Rfam family "HDV ribozyme from F. prausnitzii". The record is from RNAcentral.